UACGAAGGGAGCUAGCGUUGUUCGGAAUUACUGGGCGUAAAGGGCGCGUAGGCGGCCGUUUAAGUCAGAUGUGAAAGCCUUGGGCUCAACCUGAGAAUUGCAUUUGAUACUGGACGGCUUGAGAUCGAGAGAGGAAAGUGGAAUUAUGAGUGUAGAGGUGAAAUUCGUAGAUAUUCAUAAGAACACCAGUGGCGAAGGCGACUUUCUGGCUCGAUACUGACGCUAAGGCGCGAAAGCGUGGGGAGCAAACAGG
Molecule: ribosomal RNA, 253 nt
Filed under: uncultured bacterium
Lineage: Bacteria
Description: partial 16S ribosomal RNA
Rfam family: Bacterial small subunit ribosomal RNA
Source: RNAcentral